GUAGGUAAACUCCUGUAAACAUGGCCCUAAGUUUUAGGGAUCUAGUUGGACAAAAUCUACGAGAAAUUGUAGUUGUAGACUGCGCUAACACUAAAGACAUUACGAAGACGAAAAAUAUGUUCGAGUGUGUGUGCCCAAAGGACAUGAGGGUGGCUGCCGUCAAUAGAUGCUUAGCAAAUAGCGAUCAUCCAUGUUGUUGGGAAGUACUAUAUGAUUAUAAACCCGAGACAAGAAAAACAUGUAGCUCAGAAGACGCGAAAGACGCUUUUGAGGAUAUCUUAAAAUUUCGACCAUUUAACGUUAGCGUAAAAAACAGCGAUAAACAAUUGAUCGGAUUUCCGUUGAAGUAUCGUGUACAGUUCACUGUUGACAAUUGUAAAUGCAAGAAGCUGGAUAUUGAAUUUUGUAAUUUUAUGAAAAACCUUAGUGUCUAGAAUAAUUAAUAAAGCAAGUAGACAUUAA
Tribolium castaneum (red flour beetle) is the source of this 462-nucleotide long non-coding RNA. RefSeq lists it as uncharacterized. Lineage: Eukaryota; Metazoa; Arthropoda; Insecta; Coleoptera; Tenebrionidae. The transcript is spliced from 2 exons. The record is from RefSeq and is a predicted model, not a curated record.